UUCCUCUGCCCGCCCGGUUCCCUCCCCCGGGGAUAUCUCGCCACCAGCAGGCUCACCCGAGAGGAGAGGCGCAUCGCCGCAGCCUUUAAGAAUCCCUGAAAGUUCCAGCUCCUAUGCUUGCGGCCAUCUGAACUCAGAUUGGAAUAUGCAGAGUACAGACAGAACAAACAGGGAGAGAUGGCUUAUUCCUGCCUCAACUGGGAAGAUCUUUCAGCCUGUCCUACUGUGUUGAUGCCAGACUGCUCCUGAGAGUCUGAUAGCCUGGACACCAUCAGUCUCAUGCUAGAGAGGUGUUAAAGCAAGGGUGAGGAACCUUUUGUUGGACCACAAUUCCCAUCAUUCUUGAUCAUUGGCCAUGCUGGCUGGAGUUGGUGAGAAUCAGAAACAGCAUCUCGAGGGCCACAGAUUCUCCAUCCCUUUGUUAAAGUUAAAAGUCAGAUUAUGAGUAGCAUUGCAUACAUAAACACCCUCUCUGUGACAGUUUGUAACAAAGCUCUAAGGCCACUCAGAAGAUUUGUACCAACAAAUUUUGAAAGCCCAUAGUAAUAUCAUAGGUAAUACUUGGAUGGCAUGUAGUCUGACUGUAUAUGUGUACACUCAGAAGUAGAAAUGUG
Molecule: long non-coding RNA, 614 nt
Organism: Rhineura floridana
Lineage: Eukaryota; Metazoa; Chordata; Lepidosauria; Squamata; Rhineuridae
Exons: 3
Source: RefSeq, a predicted model, not a curated record